This 404-nucleotide ribosomal RNA is filed under the name uncultured microorganism. RNAcentral's name for it is "bacterial SSU rRNA". It matches the Rfam family "Bacterial small subunit ribosomal RNA", at positions 9 to 392 of the family's 1533-position model. The record is from RNAcentral.
GAGUUUGAUCGUGGCUCAGGAUGAACGCUGGCGGCGUGCCUAACACAUGCAAGUCGAACGGAGUUCUUAAGGAAUGCGGCUUCGGCCAAAUGACUUUUGAACUUAGUGGCGGACGGGUGAGUAACGCGUGAGCAACCUGCCUUUCAGAGGGGGAUAACAUUUGGAAACAGAUGCUAAUACCGCAUAAGAUUACAGUACCGCAUGAUACAGUGAUCAAAGGAGCAAUCCGCUGAAAGAUGGGCUCGCGUCCGAUUAGAUAGUUGGUGAGGUAACGGCUCGCCAAGUCGACGAUCGGUAGCCGGACCUGAGAGGUUGAACGGCCACAUUGGGACUGAGACACGGCCCAGACUCCUACGGGAGGCAGCAGUGGGGAAUAUUGCACAAUGGCGAAAGCCUGAUGCAGC